This 497-nucleotide ribosomal RNA is filed under the name uncultured bacterium. Its description in RNAcentral is "partial 16S ribosomal RNA". It matches the Rfam family "Bacterial small subunit ribosomal RNA", at positions 28 to 507 of the family's 1533-position model. The record is from RNAcentral.
GAUGAACGCUGGCGGCGUGCCUAAUACAUGCAAGUCGAGCGAACAGACGAGGAGCUUGCUCCUUCGACGUUAGCGGCGGACGGGUGAGUAACACGUAGAUAACCUACCUAUAAGACUGGGAUAACUUCGGGAAACCGGAGCUAAUACCGGAUAAUAUUUCGAACCGCAUGGUUCGAUAGUGAAAGACGGUUUUGCUGUCACUUAUAGAUGGAUCCGCGCCGAAUUAGCUAGUUGGUAAGGUAACGGCUUACCAAGGCAACGAUGCGUAGCCGACCUGAGAGGGUGAUCGGCCACACUGGAACUGAGACACGGUCCAGACUCCUACGGGAGGCAGCAGUAGGGAAUCUUCCGCAAUGGGCGAAAGCCUGACGGAGCAACGCCGCGUGAGUGAUGAAGGUCUUCGGAUCGUAAAACUCUGUUAUUAGGGAAGAACAAACGUGUAAGUAACUGUGCACGUCUUGACGGUACCUAAUCAGAAAGCCACGGCUAACUACGUG